AUUGAACGCUGGCGGCAUGCUUUACACAUGCAAGUCGAACGGCAGCGGGGAGGAGCUUGCUUCUCUGCCGGCGAGUGGCGAACGGGUGAGUAAUACAUCGGAACGUGUCGAGAAGAGGGGGAUAACCACCCGAAAGGGUGGCUAAUACCGCAUAAAUUCUGAGGAAGAAAGCUGGGGACCUAGGAAUAGGCCUAGCGCUUUUUGAGCGGCCGAUGUCGGAUUAGCUAGUUGGUGAGGUAAAGGCUCACCAAGGCGAAGAUCUGUAGCGGGUCUGAGAGGAUGAUCCGCCACACUGGGACGGAGACACGGCCCAGACUCCUACGGGAGGCAGCAGUGGGGAAUUUUGGACAAUGGGGGCAACCCUGAUCCAGCCAUGCCGCGUGUAUGAAGAAGGCCUUAGGGUUGUAAAGUACUUUUGUUAGGGAAGAAAAGUCAGCUGCGAAUAAUGGCUGAUACUGACGGUACCUAAAGAAUAAGCACCGGCUAACUACGUG
RNAcentral lists this ribosomal RNA (494 nucleotides) under uncultured bacterium. RNAcentral describes it as "partial 16S ribosomal RNA". It matches the Rfam family "Bacterial small subunit ribosomal RNA", at positions 30 to 507 of the family's 1533-position model. The record is from RNAcentral.